Molecule: unclassified non-coding RNA, 317 nt
Filed under: Hevea brasiliensis (rubber tree)
Lineage: Eukaryota; Viridiplantae; Streptophyta; Magnoliopsida; Malpighiales; Euphorbiaceae
Source: RNAcentral
AAACCCUCAAUUCCUGCAAUUCUUUACAAGUUGAAGCAACAACUUCCAGUCCUUUGUCUCCAAUACCAUCCAGAAUCCACAAGCGUUGAAGUUUCUCACAAUACUGAAUGACCUUUAUGAGCUCGUUGCCAUGAAGCCCAGGACUAUAGCUCAGGUUCAAGGAUGUCAAAUUCGAGCAAAUUGGGUAAAUGGAGGCCAGGCAGCGAGGAGACACAUCUAAAAAGCCAGAUAAACUCCUGAUAGAUUUGCAUUUCAGAAUGGUGUUCUUGAGAUUGUCAUAGAUCUUAGAAUCUCUAUCAUGAACAUAAGACCCCGUG